GCGAGUUCUUCCUUGGCCGAAAGGCCCGGGUAAUCUUGUGAAACUCUGUCGUGCUGGGGAUAGAGCAUUGCAAUUAUUGCUCUUCAACGAGGAAUCCCUAGUAAGCGCAAGUCAUCAACUUGCGCUGAUUACGUCCCUGCCCUUUGUACACACCGCCCGUCGCUACUACCGAUUGAAUGGCUCAGUGAGGCUUCCGGACUGGCCCAGGGGGGCGGGCAACCGCCCCCCCAGGCCGGAAAGUUAUCCAAACUCGGUCAUUUAGAGGAAGUAAAAGUCGUAACAAGGUCUCCGUUGGUGAACCAGCGGAGGGAUCAUUA
Molecule: ribosomal RNA, 317 nt
Filed under: Ophiostoma sp. 131 WIN(M)
Lineage: Eukaryota; Fungi; Ascomycota; Sordariomycetes; Ophiostomatales; Ophiostomataceae
Description: SSU rRNA
Rfam family: Eukaryotic small subunit ribosomal RNA
Source: RNAcentral